RNAcentral lists this unclassified non-coding RNA (117 nucleotides) under uncultured Ascomycota. RNAcentral describes it as "sequence contains ITS1". The record is from RNAcentral. Lineage: Eukaryota; Fungi; Ascomycota.
AUAAGAUAGACCUUUGGGUCCUUCAUCCUUCAAACCUGUGGAAGUGAGAUGUGCCUCGGCGCCUCUGGGCGUCGAACCAAUGCUUAUUAGCCUGUGUCUGAAGAAAACGAAAAUUUA